RNAcentral lists this transfer RNA (72 nucleotides) under Ictidomys tridecemlineatus (thirteen-lined ground squirrel). Its description in RNAcentral is "Spermophilus tridecemlineatus (thirteen-lined ground squirrel) tRNA". It matches the Rfam family "tRNA". Rfam says of the family: Transfer RNA (tRNA) molecules are approximately 80 nucleotides in length. Their secondary structure includes four short double-helical elements and three loops (D, anti-codon, and T loops). Lineage: Eukaryota; Metazoa; Chordata; Mammalia; Rodentia; Sciuridae. The record is from Rfam by way of RNAcentral.
GGGGUUGUAGCUUAAGGGUGGAGCGCCUGUCUCCCAUAUAUGAGGCACUGAGUUUGAUCCUCAGCACCGCUU